AAUAGAUACCCUGGUAGUCCACGCCGUAAACGAUGUCGACUUGGGGGUUGUUCCCUUGAGGAGUGGCGUUCCGGAGCUAACGCGUUAAGUCGACCGCCUGGGGAGUACGGCCGCAAGGUUAAAACUCAAAUGAAUUGACGGGGGGCCCGCACAAGCGGUGGAGCAUGUGGUUUAAUUCGAUGCAACGCGAAGAACCUUACCUACUCUUGACAUCCAGAGAACUUAGCAGAGAUGCUUUGGUGCCUUCGGGAACUCUGAGACAGGUGCUGCAUGGCUGUCGUCAGCUCGUGUUGUGAAAUGUUGGGUUAAGUCCCGCAACGAGCGCAACCCUUAUCCUUUGUUGCCAGCGGUUCGGCCGGGAACUCAAAGGAGACUGCCAGUGAUAAACUGGAGGAAGGUGGGGAUGACGUCAAGUCAUCAUGGCCCUUACGAGUAGGGCUACACACGUGCUACAAUGGCGUAUACAAAGAGAAGCGACCUCGCGAGAGCAAGCGGACCUCAUAAAAGUACGUCGUAGUCCGGAUUGGAGU
Molecule: ribosomal RNA, 530 nt
Filed under: uncultured bacterium
Lineage: Bacteria
Description: bacterial SSU rRNA
Rfam family: Bacterial small subunit ribosomal RNA
Source: RNAcentral